GAUGAACGCUGGCGGCGUGCCUAAUACAUGCAAGUCGAGCGAACAGAUGAGGAGCUUGCUCCUCUGACGUUAGCGGCGGACGGGUGAGUAACACGUGGAUAACCUACCUAUAAGACUGGGAUAACUACGGGAAACCGGAGCUAAUACCGGAUAAUAUAUUGAACCGCAUGGUUCAAUAGUGAAAGACGGUUUUGCUGUCACUUAUAGAUGGAUCCGCGCCGCAUUAGCUAGUUGGUAAGGUAACGGCUUACCAAGGCAACGAUGCGUAGCCGACCUGAGAGGUUGAUCGGCCACACUGGAACUGAGACACGGUCCAGACUCCUACGGGAGGCAGCAGUAGGGAAUCUUCCGCAAUGGGCGAAAGCCUGACGGAGCAACGCCGCGUGAGUGAUGAAGGUCUUCGGAUCGUAAAACUCUGUUAUUAGGGAAGAACAAAUUUGUAAGUAACUAUGCACGUCUUGACGGUACCUAAUCAGAAAGCCACGGCUAACUACGUG
Molecule: ribosomal RNA, 497 nt
Filed under: uncultured bacterium
Lineage: Bacteria
Description: partial 16S ribosomal RNA
Rfam family: Bacterial small subunit ribosomal RNA
Source: RNAcentral